This 253-nucleotide ribosomal RNA is filed under the name uncultured bacterium. RNAcentral describes it as "partial 16S ribosomal RNA". It matches the Rfam family "Bacterial small subunit ribosomal RNA", at positions 524 to 776 of the family's 1533-position model. The record is from RNAcentral.
UACGGGGGGGGCAAGCGUUGUUCGGAAUUACUGGGCGUAAAGGGCUCGUAGGCGGCUAACUAAGUCAGACGUGAAAUCCCUAGGCUCAACCUAGGAACUGCGUCUGAUACUGGAUGGCUUGAAUCCGGGAGAGGGAUGCAGAAUUCCUGGUGUAGCGGUGAAAUGCGCAGAUAUCAGGAGGAACACCGAUGGCGAAGGCAGGUCUCUGGGCCACUACUGACGCUGAGAAGCGAAAGCAUGGGGAGCGAACAGG